RNAcentral lists this ribosomal RNA (468 nucleotides) under uncultured bacterium. RNAcentral's name for it is "partial 16S ribosomal RNA". It matches the Rfam family "Bacterial small subunit ribosomal RNA", at positions 28 to 507 of the family's 1533-position model. The record is from RNAcentral.
GACGAACGCUGGCGGCGUGCUUAACACAUGCAAGUCGAACGGAAAGGCCCUGCUUUUGUGGGGUGCUCGAGUGGCGAACGGGUGCGUAACACGUGAGUAACCUGCCCUUGACUUUGGGGUAACUUCAGGAAACUGGGCCUAAUACCGUAUAGGAGCUCCUGCUCCAUGGUGGGGGUUGGACAGUUUCGGCGGUUGGGGAUGGACUCGCGGGUUAUCAGCUUGUUGGUUGGCUAGUUGCUUACCAAGGCUUUGACGGGUAGCCGGCCCGAGAGGGUGACCGGCGACAUUGGGACUGAGGGACGGCCCAGACUGCUACGGGAGGCAGCAGUGGGGAAUAUUGCACAAUGGGCGGAAGCCUGAUGCAGCAACGCCGCGUGCGGGAUGACGGCCUUUGGGGUGUAAACCGCUUUCGCCUGUGACGAAGCGUGAGUGACGGUAAUGGGUAAAGAAGCACCGGCUAACUACGUG